CAGCCAGUGUGAGUCUGCUUAGCUAAACAUGUACAUGCAGAGAUUCAGAUAAAGCUGGCAAUAAUAGUGUCAUGAUAUGAGCCAGAAGGACAAUCAAAGUCACUAAGGUCUUUGAAAAUGGCUACAAAC
This is a small nucleolar RNA of Perognathus longimembris pacificus (Pacific pocket mouse), 129 nucleotides long. RefSeq annotates it as small nucleolar RNA SNORA33. The record is from RefSeq and is a predicted model, not a curated record. Lineage: Eukaryota; Metazoa; Chordata; Mammalia; Rodentia; Heteromyidae. The transcript has a single exon.